This 266-nucleotide ribosomal RNA is filed under the name uncultured Staphylococcus sp. Its description in RNAcentral is "partial 16S ribosomal RNA". It matches the Rfam family "Bacterial small subunit ribosomal RNA", at positions 96 to 355 of the family's 1533-position model. Lineage: Bacteria; Bacillati; Bacillota; Bacilli; Caryophanales; Staphylococcaceae. The record is from RNAcentral.
CGGCGGACGGGUGAGUAACACGUGGAUAACCUACCUAUAAGACUGGGAUAACUUCGGGAAACCGGAGCUAAUACCGGAUAAUAUAUUGAACCGCAUGGUUCAAUGGUGAAAGACGGUUUUGCCGUCACUUAUAGAUGGAUCCGCGCCGCAUUAGCUAGUUGGUAAGGUAACGGCUUACCAAGGCAACGAUGCGUAGCCGACCUGAGAGGGUGAUCGGCCACACUGGAACUGAGACACGGUCCAGACUCCUACGGGAGGCAGCAGCC